GUAGGUGAACCUGCGGAAGGAUCAUUAUCGAAUAAACUUGUGCAGGCUGUUGCUGGCCCUUACUAAAGUAAGGGUAUGUGCACGCUUGUCAUCUUUAUCAUUUCUCCAAACCUGUGCACAUACUUGUAGACCUUUGGGGGUAGCAUUUUCGAAUUCAUAUUCGAAGUUGGGGGACUGCUGCGCUUUUUUUCAUAUACAAAAGUCGGCUUUCCCUUUGUAUUUUAAGGUCUAUGUUGUUUUUCCACAACCU
RNAcentral lists this unclassified non-coding RNA (250 nucleotides) under plant metagenome. Its description in RNAcentral is "partial contains small subunit ribosomal RNA, internal transcribed spacer 1, and 5.8S ribosomal RNA". The record is from RNAcentral.